RNAcentral lists this ribosomal RNA (468 nucleotides) under uncultured bacterium. Its description in RNAcentral is "partial 16S ribosomal RNA". It matches the Rfam family "Bacterial small subunit ribosomal RNA", at positions 28 to 507 of the family's 1533-position model. The record is from RNAcentral.
GACGAACGCUGGCGGCGUGCUUAACACAUGCAAGUCGAACGGAAAGGCCCUGCUUUUGUGGGGUGCUCGAGUGGCGAACGGGUGAGUAACACGUGAGUAACCUGCCCUUGACUUUGGGAUAACUUCAGGAAACUGGGGCUAAUACCGGAUAGGAGCUCCUGCUGCAUGGUGGGGGUUGGAAAGUUUCGGCGUUUGGGGAUGGACUCGCGGCUUAUCCGCUUGUUUGGGGGGUAGUGGCUUUCCAAGCAUUUGACGGAUAGGCGGCCUGGGAGGGUGACCGGCCACAUUGGGACUGAGAUACGGCCCAGACUCCUACGGGAGGCAGCAGUGGGGAAUAUUGCACAAUGGGCGGAAGCCUGAUGCAGCAACGCCGCGUGCGGGAUGACGGCCUUCGGGUUGUAAACCGCUUUCGCCUGUGACGAAGCGUGAGUGACGGUAAUGGGUAAAGAAGCACCGGCUAACUACGUG